RNAcentral lists this ribosomal RNA (429 nucleotides) under uncultured bacterium. RNAcentral's name for it is "bacterial SSU rRNA". It matches the Rfam family "Bacterial small subunit ribosomal RNA", at positions 29 to 506 of the family's 1533-position model. The record is from RNAcentral.
GCGAACGCUGGCGGCAGGCUUAACACAUGCAAGUCGAGCGCCCCGCAAGGGGAGCGGCAGACGGGAGAGUAACACGUGGGAACAUACCUUUUGGUUCGGAACAACUGAGGGAAACUUCAGCUAAUACCGGAUAAGCCCUUACGGGGAAAGAUUUAUCGCCGAAAGAUUGGCCCGCGUCUGAUUAGCUAGUUGGUGAGGUAACGGCUCACCAAGGCGACGAUCAGUAGCUGGUCUGAGAGGAUGAUCAGCCUCAUUGGGACUGAGACACGGCCCAAACUCCUACGGGAGGCAGCAGUGGGGAAUAUUGGACAAUGGGCGCAAGCCUGAUCCAGCCAUGCCGCGUGAGUGAUGAAGGCCUUAGGGUUGUAAAGCUCUUUUGCCCGGGAAGAUAAUGACGGUACCGGGAGAAUAAGCCCCGGCUAACUUCGU